This is a non-coding RNA of Triticum aestivum (bread wheat), 126 nucleotides long. Lineage: Eukaryota; Viridiplantae; Streptophyta; Magnoliopsida; Poales; Poaceae. The record is from Rfam.
GUAGUACUUUCUCCGUCCGGAAAAGUUUGUCCCUCAAAUGGAUGUAUCUAGUAUCAAUUUAGUACUACAUACAUCCAUUUGAGGGACAAGCUUGGGACGAGCUUUUUUGGACGGAGGAAGUACGUG